Molecule: long non-coding RNA, 677 nt
Organism: Columba livia (rock pigeon)
Lineage: Eukaryota; Metazoa; Chordata; Aves; Columbiformes; Columbidae
Exons: 3
Source: RefSeq, a predicted model, not a curated record
GGUCCCUUCGCCUACGGGGCCGUUGGCCGGAGCUGGAGCGGCGGGAAGGGCCGGCCAGGCCUGAGCCUGAGCCUGAGCCUGAGCCUGAGCCUGAGCCUGAGCCUGAGCCUGUCAUGAGGGGGUUCCGGGCCUGUCGUGAGGGGAUUCCGAGCCUGGCAGGUGGGAGCAGGCCCAGGGAGCAGCAUGCCAGCAGCCCCUCUCCCAAACAUGGCCUGUGGUGUCUCCCCGGUGUGUCGGACACAUUGGAACCAACCAACAGAAGGACAGAAAGUGAUGGUGCGGCCUGGCCUGGGCUUGGUCUGGGAAGGACAUUUUGAUUGCAAAGCCUAAGCCAAUGACCCUCGGCUCCUCUUCUCCUUCAGGGAGCAGAAGCAAGAGGCCCAUGGUCCCACCUCACUGCUGUGCAGGCUCUCCACUACGAUGGUCUCUAUCCACAAGGCAGAGCUUCCAACUGAAAAGCUGUUUGUUUUUUCUACUUGUGUUGUCGGCUCCUCAGGGCUAAGGCCUUUAUGAAAGAGCCCAUGAAGUGGUGCUACUGAAUCAAGUGUUUUGUUGUAAUAAAAUGAAAUUCCAGCAGAAAUCUGAAGUGGAAAAGCAGUUUCCUGGUGUAUCCACCUCUGCUCUGGACCAGGCUUUAGGGGAGGCUAAGAAGUGGAAAAACUCCAGACGCCUUUCAG